This 465-nucleotide ribosomal RNA is filed under the name uncultured bacterium. Its description in RNAcentral is "partial 16S ribosomal RNA". It matches the Rfam family "Bacterial small subunit ribosomal RNA", at positions 28 to 507 of the family's 1533-position model. The record is from RNAcentral.
GACGAACGCUGGCGGCGUGCUUAACACAUGCGAGUCGAACGGAAAGGCCCCUUUGGGGGUCCUCGAGUGGCGAACGGGUGGGUAACACGUGAGUAACCUGCCCUUGACUUCGGGAUAACUUCAGGAAACUGGGGCUAAUACCGGAUAGGAAUCCUUGCUGCAUGGUGGGGGUUGGAAAGCUUCGGCGGUUUUGGAUGGACUCGCGGCUUAUCAGCUUGUUGGUGGGGUAGUGGCUUACCAAGGCUUUGACGGGUAGCCGGCCUGAGAGGGCGACCGGCCACAUUGGGACUGAGAUACGGCCCAGACUCCUACGGGAGGCAGCAGUGGGGAAUAUUGCACAAUGGGCGGAAGCCUGAUGCAGCAACGCCGCGUGCGGGAUGACGGCCUUCGGGUUGUAAACCGCUUUCAGCAGGGGCGAAGCUUGUGGUGACGGUACCUGCAGAAGAAGCACCGGCUAACUACGUG